AUUGAACGCUGGCGGCAUGCCUUACACAUGCAAGUCGAACGGUAACAGGUCUUCGGAUGCUGACGAGUGGCGAACGGGUGAGUAAUACAUCGGAACGUGCCUAGUAGUGGGGGAUAACUACUCGAAAGAGUGGCUAAUACCGCCUGAGAUCUACGGAUGAAAGCAGGGGAUCGCAAGACCUUGUGCUACUAGAGCGGCCGAUGGCAGAUUAGGUAGUUGGUGGGAUAAAAGCUUACCAAGCCGACGAUCUGUAGCUGGUCUGAGAGGACGAUCAGCCACACUGGGACUGAGACACGGCCCAGACUCCUACGGGAGGCAGCAGUGGGGAAUUUUGGACAAUGGGCGAAAGCCUGAUCCAGCAAUGCCGCGUGCAGGAUGAAGGCCUUCGGGUUGUAAACUGCUUUUGUACGGAACGAAAAGCCCCGGGUUAAUACCCUGGGGUCAUGACGGUACCGUAAGAAUAAGCACCGGCUAACUACGUGCCAGCAGCAGCCGCAG
This 498-nucleotide ribosomal RNA is filed under the name uncultured bacterium. RNAcentral describes it as "partial 16S ribosomal RNA". It matches the Rfam family "Bacterial small subunit ribosomal RNA", at positions 30 to 523 of the family's 1533-position model. The record is from RNAcentral.